UACGGAGGUGGCUAGCGUUGUUCGGAUUUAUUGGGUGUAAAGGGUCUGUAGGCGGUUUAGCAAGUUGGGUGUGAAAUCCCGUGGCUCAACCACGGAACUGCGCUCAAAACUACUAGACUAGAGUUUAGGAGAGGAAGAUGGAAUUCCCGGUGUAAGGGUGAAAUCUGCAGAUAUCGGGAAGAACACCAGUUGCGAAGGCGAUCUUCUGGUCUAGAACUGACGCUGAGAGACGAAAGCUAGGGUAGCGAACGGG
RNAcentral lists this ribosomal RNA (253 nucleotides) under uncultured bacterium. RNAcentral describes it as "partial 16S ribosomal RNA". It matches the Rfam family "Bacterial small subunit ribosomal RNA", at positions 524 to 776 of the family's 1533-position model. The record is from RNAcentral.